UGGCGUCCAGGCUCCAGCACAGUGAGGGAGGAAAUUGGAGCAAGUAGGGGAUUACAGUAGGUAUAUUUGGAAUAGCUUUCCUUCCCAGAAGUCAUGGAUAUCUGUUGGAGAUGACACUUUUAAUGCAGCAGUAAGCAGAAGAAAUCUGUCCUUUCCCCCCAUCUUGCAAUGGACUGAAGCCUUACAGCAAUGGGGGCAGCCUUCGCCAACCUGACACUCUCCAAAUGUUUUCGACUACAACUCUCAUCAAUUCCAGUCUGCAGGGAUAUGACAGUCAGAUGAUUGAGCCGGUUACCUCUAUUCCUAAAGGAUCUGAGAUUCUUAAUCUACAACACUAAACGGCAGCCUUUAACCAUCCUGGCUCUAAAUUGGACCAUCACCCAUUGGGUUUCAAAAAUCAAAAGCAAUUGGACAUAACACUUCCUACAUCACUUCCUUCCAAGACAUAGUCCACAAAACUCAUGUGACUUAACUACACCAGCCGAUGCAUUAGGAACAUUUCAAUCCAACUUUCGACUUUUCUCUGAUUGAAGGAGGCAGCAGGUCUUUUGAAGCCAAGUUGGACAGGAGUAAGAGAAAGCUUCUUAUCUUUCAGGAUGAAAUGGCUUUGAUAUGCGGCCUUGUUUCUAUCAACACAUGGAUUUCUGAGCUCUUUGAUGUUAUGGUUUCAUGUCCCUGGGAUAUCUCAUUUCGCAGUGCUAAACAAUAAAGAAAAUGUAAAGCAAAACAACACAAAGGGGUGUACAGCUUUUGCAACUGUUGUUUUGUGUCUCUCAAAACAACAGCAGAGGCAUCAACUUGAAGGGCUGUGACAUGGUUUUUUAUUUAGAACCUUUCUAUUCCCCAACCCCUGCACCAUACUGCCUGUAUCCAUAUUUGCGUCAAUAACUUUCAGAUCUCCACAAUCCACAAGGAACCUACCACCAGUCAUGGAAUAAGAACACCAAAUGCAUCUGUAAUGAAUCAUAAAAAAGAGACAGAAGUAAACCUUCAAAGGCAUUGCUAGUUCUAAGGUCCAAGGUCUUUGGAGACCUUGUGUCACACCCCUUCUAUUUUAUCUUGUUGGUUUAUUCAUUCAUUUUGGUGCAACUCAGCAACAACAGCAACGUUGCCUCUAGUUCUCACAUAUGCAAUCUAGUAUGCAUGGAGCAAAACAGCUGACAAGCCUUUGUACCAGUUAGUUGGCAUUAAACCAAAGCAUCAAAAUAUAUUUUGGACAAACAAAGAGAAGGACAUCUGGCUUUAAGAGACAGAGGCCACAAGUCUGAGGCUGGUUGCUCUUGAGGAAUCCUGCUGACUAUCUUAUCUGUUUAUAUAUAUAUAUAUAUAUUAUGCCACCUUCCUCAACAGUCUCAUGGUGAUGCACAAAAUUAAAA
Molecule: long non-coding RNA, 1376 nt
Organism: Rhineura floridana
Lineage: Eukaryota; Metazoa; Chordata; Lepidosauria; Squamata; Rhineuridae
Exons: 4
Source: RefSeq, a predicted model, not a curated record